Long non-coding RNA from Telopea speciosissima, 147 nucleotides. RefSeq lists it as uncharacterized. The transcript has 3 exons. Lineage: Eukaryota; Viridiplantae; Streptophyta; Magnoliopsida; Proteales; Proteaceae. The record is from RefSeq and is a predicted model, not a curated record.
UAGGUAGUUAGAAUACAGAGAGGCGAAAGACUGUCCGCAAUACGGAUUGACUAACAACGAUGGAAGUUAACGAGAAUACGCACUUCGCAAACUUGGAUCGGUUGAAUGGCCAUGUAGUUUAUUCAUGGUCUGGUUUUCUCGUUUCUU